This 301-nucleotide ribosomal RNA is filed under the name uncultured bacterium. Its description in RNAcentral is "partial 16S ribosomal RNA". It matches the Rfam family "Bacterial small subunit ribosomal RNA", at positions 509 to 807 of the family's 1533-position model. The record is from RNAcentral.
CAGCCGCCGCGGUAAUACGUAGGUGGCAAGCGUUGUCCGGAAUUAUUGGGCGUAAAGGGCUCGCAGGCGGUUUCUUAAGUCUGAUGUGAAAGCCCCCGGCUCAACCGGGGAGGGUCAUUGGAAACUGGGAAACUUGAGUGCAGAAGAGGAGAGUGGAAUUCCACGUGUAGCGGUGAAAUGCGUAGAGAUGUGGAGGAACACCAGUGGCGAAGACGACUCUCUGGUCUGUAACUGACGCUGAGGAGCGAAAGCGUGGGGAGCGAACAGGAUUAGAUACCCGUGUAGUCCCUGUCUCUUAUAC